This 303-nucleotide ribosomal RNA is filed under the name uncultured bacterium. Its description in RNAcentral is "bacterial SSU rRNA". It matches the Rfam family "Bacterial small subunit ribosomal RNA", at positions 355 to 675 of the family's 1533-position model. The record is from RNAcentral.
UGGGGAAUAUUGCACAAUGGGCGCAAGCCUGAUGCAGCGACGCCGCGUGAGCGAAGAAGUAUUUCGGUAUGUAAAGCUCUAUCAGCAGGGAAGAAAAUGACGGUACCUGACUAAGAAGCUCCGGCUAAAUACGUGCCAGCAGCCGCGGUAAUACGUAUGGAGCAAGCGUUAUCCGGAAUUACUGGGUGUAAAGGGAGCGUAGACGGAUGUGCAAGUCUGAUGUGAAAGGCGGGGGCUCAACCCCUGGACUGCAUUGGAAACUGUAAAUCUUGAGUGCCGGAGAGGUAAGCGGAAUUCCUAGUG